Molecule: non-coding RNA, 2390 nt
Organism: Arvicanthis niloticus (Nile rat)
Lineage: Eukaryota; Metazoa; Chordata; Mammalia; Rodentia; Muridae
Source: RefSeq, a predicted model, not a curated record
GGGCGCGGGCUGGCGCUGCGCAGCCGCGGGGCGGCAUCCGCGCAUGCGGGGCUUACUCAGUUGCAGCCGGCGCCUACUGCCACUCCCGGGAGCAUGAAGGACCGAACCCAGGAGCUCCGCACGGCCAAGGACAGUGAUGACGACGAUGAUGUCACCGUCACUGUGGACCGAGACCGCUUCAUGGAUGAGUUCUUUGAACAGGUGGAAGAGAUCCGGGGCUUUAUUGACAAGAUUGCCGAAAACGUGGAGGAGGUGAAGCGGAAACACAGCGCCAUCCUGGCCUCCCCGAACCCCGAUGAGAAGACCAAGGAGGAACUGGAAGAGCUCAUGUCGGACAUUAAGAAGACAGCGAACAAAGUUCGCUCCAAGCUAAAGAGCAUCGAGCAAAGCAUCGAGCAAGAGGAAGGUCUGAACCGCUCAUCAGCCGACCUUAGGAUCCGGAAGACGCAGCACUCCACGCUGUCCCGAAAGUUUGUGGAGGUCAUGUCCGAGUACAACGCCACUCAGUCAGACUACCGAGAACGCUGCAAAGGGCGCAUCCAGAGGCAGCUGGAGAUCACCGGCCGGACCACGACCAGUGAGGAGUUGGAAGACAUGCUGGAGAGUGGCAACCCUGCCAUCUUUGCCUCGGGGAUCAUCAUGGAUUCCAGCAUCUCGAAGCAGGCUCUCAGUGAGAUCGAGACCAGACACAGUGAGAUCAUCAAGCUGGAGAACAGCAUCCGGGAGCUUCAUGAUAUGUUCAUGGACAUGGCCAUGCUGGUGGAGAGCCAGGUGAGGACCCUUGUCCCUGAUGUUGGCCUCUGGCCCCCAGCAGCAGGGCCACACUAACCCCUUCCCUUUCCACCCAACACGCUGCCCUGCCCGGGAGGGACAGAGUAUCUUCAGGGUACUUUCCCGAAGCCCUACCCUGUGCUCCCUCCCGCCGUGAGGAGGGAGGCCUGGACCUUGGGUACCCCUGGUCCUGCAGGGGGAGAUGAUUGACAGGAUCGAGUACAAUGUGGAACACGCCGUGGACUACGUGGAGAGGGCCGUGUCUGACACCAAGAAGGCCGUCAAGUACCAGAGCAAGGCGCGCAGGAAGAAGAUCAUGAUCAUCAUUUGCUGCGUGAUUCUGGGCAUCGUCAUCGCCUCCACCAUCGGGGGCAUCUUUGGAUAGAAACCACCCCACCUACUGCUCCAUUCUGGAUAGGUCUCCCCGAGGAGGCCCCUGGCUGCUGCACCUAGCUGGGUUGCCCUCCUCACUCCUGCCUUCUGGCUGGGAGUCCGUUCCUCUCCCAUCCAACACUGCUCCCUCUCUGCCAUGAGGCUCUCGUCCCCACCACCCUGCCCCAAGCCGUGUCGUGUGCAUGAUCUUGUGACAGUGUGUGUCUGUACAGGAGGCAGAGGGGAGCAGGAUUGGGAACAGCCAGAGGGGCUGGGUACAGGCCUGUGUGGGCAAGACUCGGGCCCUGGCCAGGUUCGCCUUUCUUCAGGCCUGGGGCCUACUCUUCUCUGGGACUCAGUCUCCUUUCUGGACCCCAUCCUUGCCCUCACUUGCCCUGCCCCCUGGCUUCUCCAGCUCUCCCCUCCAUGCCAAGGCACCUGGAGGGUGGGGACCAGCUGGUCACAUGGUGCUGCUUUUCAGGUUAGGGGUGGGGUUAGCUCAGCACGGAGUCUUUGUUAGCUGCCCACUGCCAGGAGGCUCAGGGUGCCAUGGCUGCUGGUGUAUUAGGAGCACCCAGUACCUCCUCUUUGGGCAAAGCCUGACAACGCUUCUGGCUUCAGCUGCCCUUACCACAGCCCUGGGAGUCAUUCCUGGGCUGGGCCUGAGCCUAGUGAUCCUUUGCUAAGAAGCUUAGUGGUGCCAUCUCCAACCUUGCUUUGAGCUGGAGAGGUGGAGCAGGCCACAGUCCUCAGCCCACAGGCUCUAACGGGCAGGUUAAGUUAUGGCCAGAGUUGCAUGUUGGGGACAGCCGUUCCCUGCUCCUUUUAUCCUCUGAAAAGCUAGGUGUCACUUCUGGCCUGCAGUCUCACCCUGCCCCGUCUCCCAUUGAUGUGCCACGUGGUGUCAGGUGUACUGGAUGCAGUAUUCAGCAGCCAGCUGGGGAGGGGGCUCCCCACUUCCCUCCCCUGCCAUCUUGGGGCUUCUCAGAGUCAAAACUGUAACCCCUGCCCCAGGACCCCUUUCUCGUCCACAGGCAAGGAGUAUGCAUGCGGUUGCAUGCAGCGGGAGCUGGGGCCGUGUCUGUGUGCCCCCUUUCCCUCAGCUUUGCUCCUGCCCAGUGACUGUGACCACUGUCCGUGCUGCCUUCUCUCACGGCCACCCCACCCCCACCCCUUCACCAAAGGUCUUGGUACAACCAGCUGCCCAUUUUGUGAGAUUUUUAUGUAGAAUAAACAUUUGUAUCUGU